GAGAACUUGUGUGAAAAUAGACAAGGUGGAAACCUAAGAACUUUAGGUAGGUGCCCAUUCUGUUCCUAGCUUCAGAAGUUAUUUAUACCUAUGCAAUACCUUCGCUCAGGUUAAAGAAUGGAAUACUAGUCUUGCAUCAAAUAUAUAUUACAUAUCCAUUCGAUGUUUAUCACCAGAAGUUAGUUCUACCUUUGCAGUACCUCUGCUUUACAUACCUCCUCGCUGGUUAAAGAAUGGAAUAUAA
Hydra vulgaris (swiftwater hydra) is the source of this 244-nucleotide non-coding RNA. The record is from RefSeq and is a predicted model, not a curated record. Lineage: Eukaryota; Metazoa; Cnidaria; Hydrozoa; Anthoathecata; Hydridae.